CACACAGUAAACGAUGAAUACUCGCUGUUGGCGAUACACAGUCAGCGGCCAAGCGAAAGCAUUAAGUAUUCCACCUGGGGAGUACGCCGGCAACGGUGAAACUCAAAGGAAUUGACGGGG
This 120-nucleotide ribosomal RNA is filed under the name uncultured bacterium. RNAcentral's name for it is "partial 16S ribosomal RNA". It matches the Rfam family "Bacterial small subunit ribosomal RNA", at positions 796 to 918 of the family's 1533-position model. The record is from RNAcentral.